Molecule: ribosomal RNA, 1521 nt
Filed under: Triticum aestivum (bread wheat)
Lineage: Eukaryota; Viridiplantae; Streptophyta; Magnoliopsida; Poales; Poaceae
Description: partial small subunit ribosomal RNA
Source: RNAcentral
AUGCCACCAGGGGGUGGAGAAGCAAGCAAGCAUGGCCGCACGGCAAAGGAGCAGAGCAACCCGCCGGCGAUCCGCCGCCGCGACGAGUCCCGUCCUGCGCCGCCAUUCCCCGCCGUGGAUUCUCAGUUGCUUGGGUCCUCUCCGAGGCAGAGGCAGCCAGCGGCGGCGGCGGCGGCGAUCCUCUCCGAGGGCCCCCUCGUCGAGAUCCUGGCGCGGCUGCCGUACAGGUCGCUCUGCCGCUUCAAGUGCGUGUCCAAGCAGUGGCUCAAGCUCUGCUCCGACCCCAAAAUCAUCAAGACGGCGUCACAGACCCUCUCCGGAUUCUUCCACAACCACCUGGCCUGCGGCCUCUGCUUCGACAAUUUGUCUGGCGGACGCCCGCUGGUCGACGCGUCGCUCCCUUUCCUGCGCGAGAGCUACGAAAGAAUCAAGCUCGAGCAAUGCUCCACCAGCCUCCUCCUCUGCAAAUGCUGGGAAUCGGAAUCCGAACAAGAUGAAUGCGAUUUCGUCGUGUGCAAUCCGAUGACCAAGCAGUGGACCGUGCUGCCUCCUAUAGAAUGGCUGGACGAAGACGGUGAAGACACCGAGUGUUUCAAGCUGAUGUAUCCCUUCCUGGUUUUCGACCCCGCCGCCCCGUCUCAUUUUGUGGUGUUUGUGCCCCUCCUCGAGACGGACGAUGUUCUGGCGGUAUACUCAUGGGAAACCGGACAAUGGACUCCGAGCAGUGGGUGGGAUAACUGUCCGUAUCCCGCCGUUGUUCCGGAAUGCGCCGUCUUGAUGAAUGGCAUGAUGCAUUUCUUGCAUUUGUUUAUCGAUGAACCGUUGAUAGCUGCAGUGGACAUUGAGGGGGAGGUUUGCCGAGAAAUUCAUCUCCCGGAAGAAACGAUAGGAGCCACACCUGGUUAUAGCUCGUUGGGGUGCUCUCAAGGACUCCUACAUGCUUGGUUUAUGAAUCCUCUUGACUACGUGCUCGCUGUGUGGGUGCUCAAGGAUUAUGCUACUGAGGAGUGGACCCUAAAGCAUACAGUCGCCGUUCUGGAUCUCUUUGAAGAAACGGAGCCCGACCAAGAGGAGGAUUGCGACCAAGAGGAUGGGACCCAUAAGUAUGAUAUGUUUGCAAUUCAUCCAGAACAUAAUGCGAUUUUCCUUACUGAUUGGAGGGAGGUGAAUUUGUCAUACGAUAUGGACAGCGGGCAAGUGCAUCAUAUGUGCACUUCUGGAGAUUUCCUGGCGGUCUACCUUUUAUUCCUUGCUUUGCGGAUUUGGGGAUUUGGCUCUCGGAUGAUCACUGAAAAGUCGGCGUUGUGUCAUGUCUUUGGCGUGGUAUUAGUUGCCUUUUGUAGAAGUCACUCUUCUAGUCCUGUGGCAUUGGUUUGGAUAUGUCCUCCUAGCAUUCCAAGUUAUGCUCUCUGGGUGCUGCUGUUUUGUGGCGUUGAACAAUGUUGGUUAACGGUAGAGGUUUUGAAAGCGAGAAGCGUCCAAUGGGCAAUGCUUAGUUAUAUGAAUUAUCUAGUCAACUAA